Camelus dromedarius (Arabian camel) is the source of this 1028-nucleotide long non-coding RNA. RefSeq lists it as uncharacterized. The transcript is spliced from 3 exons. Lineage: Eukaryota; Metazoa; Chordata; Mammalia; Artiodactyla; Camelidae. The record is from RefSeq and is a predicted model, not a curated record.
GGGCAGGUAAGCGCGCGGGGGGUGAUGGGAGGAGGUCCGGCUUUCAGGGCGGAGGUCAGGGGUCACCGAGCGCCUGGGGGAGGACGAGGAGAGGCGGUGCGCGGACGCGCUGCGAGAGGCCAGGAGGUGAGGGGACGAGGGAAUAAACCCGAAGUUUCUGUGACUUUCCCAAGGUCACAGGGGAGACCUAUGUGCUGUCUACCGCUACGCACAACUUUCCUGUAAUUCCGUCUGCUCCCGUGAGGUUGGCUACACUCCCAAGUAUUGUUGUAAGGAACUGGUUUGACUCCUCCACACAAACACCCCCUCACCCCAUGCCUUCACAAGAAGAACUAAUGGCCCUGGAAAAGGUAACAGAACGUUCAGUGGGACUCUGCUUGAAUUUGAGGACUGAUUAAUAUAACCAGCGAUGGAUACAGUGCCUGUGGAGCCUGGGCACCUCUACAUUUUGAGGAAAGGUGUUUUACUUUUAAGACAGAAAAUUGUAUUUUGUUAAGGUAAGAAUUAGAGUUGUCUUAUUGAUGCACAGAAGUUCAAAGAAGGGUGCUCAGGGAACUGAAGAGCCAAAGGGCUCUCUUGCUUGUAUCUCUGUGCUGUUGCUCAAGCUCUUCUUUGAACCUGUAAGUGUCUCUUAUCCUCUCAAAUCUGAGUCACAGCUUGUUUCACCAUGAGGUUUCUUCCAGCUGCCCUACUCUACAGUGAUUUUUUUCUUCUCAUGGCCUUGAAGAACUUGACUGUAUCACACAUUUAACACCUAAUUAUAUUCUGAAUGUAAUUUUCCUCCUAUUACUUGUUGUAUUCCCCUGCCCCUCCACCAGCACCAGUCCACUUGAUCCUGAGCUCUUUUAAGACUGUCUCAUUCCUUCUUUGCAUUAUCCAUCAGAAAUACACACAUGAAUACAUACACAAUUGAAUACCCCUAAAUUAAAUAACUGUCCUUAUUCACUUACUACACUAAUUAAUCUGCUUCUUGCUCCAAAUUCAGUGUUUCAGCUAAUACAAUGUUUCCCAACCUAAUCUAGCUAGAA